AAAAUCUUAGUUAAAAAAUAACAUUAAAUUGUCAAAUUAAAGUUACUAUAAUAGUAGAUUUUU
This 63-nucleotide transfer RNA is filed under the name Cryptocephalus bipunctatus. RNAcentral describes it as "tRNA-Asp". The record is from RNAcentral. Lineage: Eukaryota; Metazoa; Arthropoda; Insecta; Coleoptera; Chrysomelidae.